GGGCGUUAAGUUGCAGGGUAUAGACCCGAAACCCGGUGAUCUAGCCAUGGGCAGGUUGAAGGUUGGGUAACACUAACUGGAGGACCGAACCGACUAAUGUUGAAAAAUUAGCGGAUGACCUGUGGCUGGGGGUGAAAGGCCAAUCAAACCGGGAGAUAGCUGGUUCUCCCCGAAAGCUAUUUAGGUAGCGCCUCGUGAAUUCAUCUCCGGGGGUAGAGCACUGUUUCGGCUAGGGGGCCAUCCCGGCUUACCAACCCGAUGCAAACUGCGAAUACCGGAGAAUGUUAUCACGGGAGACACACGGCGGGUGCUAACGUCCGUCGUGAAGAGGGAAACAACCCAGACCGCCAGCUAAGGUCCCAAAGUCAUGGUUAAGUGGGAAACGAUGUGGGAAGGCACAGACAGCCAGGAUGUUGGCUUAGAAGCAGCCAUCAUUUAAAGAAAGCGUAAUAGCUCACUGGUCGAGUCGGCCUGCGCGGAAGAUGUAACGGGGCUAAACCAUGCACCGAAGCUGCGGCAGCGACACU
Molecule: ribosomal RNA, 527 nt
Filed under: Salmonella enterica subsp. enterica serovar Bareilly
Lineage: Bacteria; Pseudomonadati; Pseudomonadota; Gammaproteobacteria; Enterobacterales; Enterobacteriaceae
Description: partial 23S ribosomal RNA
Rfam family: Bacterial large subunit ribosomal RNA
Source: RNAcentral